AUGGUUAUGUUCCGGCCAUACAAUGUUGUGGUUAUCUGCAUCUUAAAAAUGACUGAAUCUUCAUGGGUUGAUCCUUACAGUGCUAUCCUUGCUUGUAUUGCUGGCGAUACUUCUCCAUCGUGCCGGUUAUCAUUGCAUGCCAUUGUUGUAGAUUCAAAUCAAGAAGCCACGAGGGCACCUUUAAGAAAUUGCACCAUCGGAGGUCUGAAGGCGGUCGCUCCGGCGGCGGAUUAUAGUUUCAGACAGUUGUGGCUUCGUGUAUGGAGUCGGCGGCGAGCGCGUGGAGCAGGAACAAGCAAGCGGAGGUAG
This 309-nucleotide ribosomal RNA is filed under the name Triticum aestivum (bread wheat). Its description in RNAcentral is "partial small subunit ribosomal RNA". Lineage: Eukaryota; Viridiplantae; Streptophyta; Magnoliopsida; Poales; Poaceae. The record is from RNAcentral.